UUUUGGUGAGGUGCCUUCCGAGUUCCCUGGAACGGGACGCCAUAGAGGGUGAGAGCCCCGUCUGGUUGGACGCCGAACCUCUGUAAAGCUCCUUCGACGAGUCGAGUAGUUUGGGAAUGCUGCUCUAAAUGGGAGGUAUAUGUCUUCUAAAGCUAAAUACCGGCCAGAGACCGAUAGCGCACAAGUAGAGUGAUCGAAAGAUGAAAAGAACUUUGAAAAGAGAGUUAAAAAGUACGUGAAAUUGUUGAAAGGGAAGCGCUUGUGACCAGACUUGGGCUUGGUUGAUCAUCCGGGGUUCUCCCCGGUGCACUCUUCCGGCCCAGGCCAGCAUCAGUUCGCCCUGGGGGACAAAGGCUUCGGGAACGUGGCUCUCUCCGGGGAGUGUUAUAGCCCGUUGCGUAAUACCCUGUGGCGGAC
Molecule: ribosomal RNA, 417 nt
Filed under: Fusarium metavorans
Lineage: Eukaryota; Fungi; Ascomycota; Sordariomycetes; Hypocreales; Nectriaceae
Description: partial large subunit ribosomal RNA
Rfam family: Eukaryotic large subunit ribosomal RNA
Source: RNAcentral